Lolium perenne is the source of this 1135-nucleotide long non-coding RNA. RefSeq lists it as uncharacterized. NCBI's taxonomy places the organism in Eukaryota, Viridiplantae, Streptophyta, Magnoliopsida, Poales, Poaceae. The record is from RefSeq and is a predicted model, not a curated record.
GGAUGCGGUACAUUACAGAAGGAAUAAUUGAGAAGAUGAACAAAGUAUUAGUGGACACUGGUGACAUGACAAGUCUGCAGAGCUCAGGUGGCAACUCAACAGAAUAUGAUGUGCAAGGUUCUGCAAGAAGGAAAGACCACGCGGCCAUGGCCGAGGCAAUGUUUGAUCACUUAUCGCUGCCCCUGCCUCAGCCGUCAACGAGCCUUUGGAUCCAUAGGCUCUGAAGGAUCCGUACUGACCAGUUAGGUCCUUGGAAAGGCUUGGACACGCAGUUCACUCAGGAUGAGCAGCAGGUAAUCGCUACAUCCGCCACCCUCUUUAGGAAAGAACGGUGGCUGGGGGUUCGAAGGUCCCAGAGAUCACACCCGCCCAUGUGGAGGUCAUUCCCGCCCGAGCUCGUAAGAGCCAGGCGGUCCGAGAGGCCAUCCAAGACCGGCGAUGGAUCACCGACAUUCAAGGUGACUUGAGCCCGCUGGCUAUGUGCAAUACAUUGUGCGCUGGAGGAAGUUCUACGAUGUGCACUUCUUGGGGAGCCUUAUGCCCUCUUGUGGCACUGGAUGCAGGACAGCCAGUUUUCUUCCAGGUCUUGCUAAAAGUUACUUUUUCAAGGACCAGUUUGAUCAAGCUCUUGGAAGCUCAACCAGAAGUCCUAGGCACCACAUGGGGUGAAGUUCUUCCUAUGGCUUGCUUGCCAAGAUAGGUGCCGGACGGCAGAUCGGUUAGCUAGGAGGGGACUCCAACAUGCCCCUCGGUAUUAUGCAAAAUAUACAUAAUUCCUAAGGCCCCUAUUUCAGGAGCCUUAAGCAUGAACUGCAAAAUUCUGUAAUAAGUAAAGGUAUGAUCAAGUUAAUCAUGAGCGUAGAUGUAACAAGCAAUCUCUGGUAACUGGAAUAUGGUCAAACUGUAUAUUUCUUUUUGUUUUACUGAAAAGUGUAUAAUACUAACUCAAUGUGUGUGUUCCAUGAUAGUUAUGCAAAAUAUGCAACCCACAGGCUCCCUGCUAGCUCUGCUAGCUAGAUAAACUAACUGACUUAAACACACAUGCUUCUAAUAAAACAUAGCAUGAGUCAAAACUAACCUUUUUUAUUCUUAUAAUGGCGCUUUUGGAGGAAGUUCCGCACUUCACCAGGUUUAC